Molecule: ribosomal RNA, 749 nt
Filed under: uncultured Actinomyces sp.
Lineage: Bacteria; Bacillati; Actinomycetota; Actinomycetes; Actinomycetales; Actinomycetaceae
Description: bacterial SSU rRNA
Rfam family: Bacterial small subunit ribosomal RNA
Source: RNAcentral
GAAGACGCAGGCGGCGUGCUUAACACAUGCAAGUCGAACGCUGAAGCUCAGCUUUUUGUGGGUGGAUGAGUGGCGAACGGGUGAGUAACACGUGAGUAACCUGCCCCCUUCUUUGGGAUAACGCCCGGAAACGGGUGCUAAUAAGGAUAUUCACUAGCCUUCGCAUGGGGGUUGGUGGAAAGGUUUUUCUGGUGGGGGAUGGGCUCGCGGCCUAUCAGCUUGUUGGUGGGGUGAUGGCCUACCAAGGCUUUGACGGGUAGCCGGCCUGAGAGGGUGACCGGUCACAUUGGGACUGAGAUACGGCCCAGACUCCUACGGGAGGCAGCAGUGGGGAAUAUUGCACAAUGGGCGAAAGCCUGAUGCAGCGACGCCGCGUGAGGGAUGGAGGCCUUCGGGUUGUAAACCUCUUUCGCUCAUGGUCAAGCCGCGACAAUGGUUGUGGUGAGGGUAGUGGGUAAAGAAGCGCCGGCUAACUACGUGCCAGCAGCCGCGGUAAUACGUAGGGCGCGAGCGUUGUCCGGAAUUAUUGGGCGUAAAGGGCUUGUAGGCGGUUGGUCGCGUCUGCCGUGAAAUCCUCUGGCUUAACUGGGGGCGUGCGGUGGGUACGGGCUGACUUGAGUGCGGUAGGGGAGACUGGAACUCCUGGUGUAGCGGUGGAAUGCGCAGAUAUCAGGAAGAACACCGGUGGCGAAGGCGGGUCUCUGGGCCGUUACUGACGCUGAGGAGCGAAAGCGUGGGGAGCGAACAGG